UGCUCUGGUGUAGCCCUCGACCACGCGACAACGGAUGCGCUGGCGACGUCCCGGAGGUCUCUUGGCUCCCGGCUUGGCCAGACGCAGCAGAUGACCUUGAUUUGCCACACCGGACGAAGCGCACCCCACCGACACCACGAGGGACUGCUACAUCGCCACCCGAAGAUCCGUUUCACGAGCCACCACCUUGGCUCUUACAACUGCGCCCCCUGGUUCUACCGUUAUCAAGCCACCAGAUAACGUCGCCUUUCACCCAGGACUAUAUAAGUGUGACACCGUGCAGCGCGGCAUUCUAUGGGCUCGGUGGCACGACAGCCAUGACAACAGCCGCUUACCUGCGACGCCUUUUCGUUCUGCAGGUUCUGCUCUGGUGUAGCCCUCGACCACGCGACAACGGAUGCGCUGGCGACGUCCCGGAGGUCUCUUGGCUCCCGGCUUGGCCAGACGCAGCAGAUGACCUUGAUUUGCCACACCGGACGAAGCGCACCCCACCGACACCACGAGGGACUGCUACAUCGCCACCCGAAGAUCCGUUUCACGAGCCACCACCUUGGCUCUUACAACUGCGCCCCCUGGUUCUACCGUUAUCAAGCCACCAGAUAACGUCGCCUUUCACCCAGGACUAUAUAAGUGUGACACCGUGCAGCGCGGCAUUCUAUGGGCUCGGUGGCACGACAGCCAUGACAACAGCCGCUUACCUGCGACGCCUUUUCGUUCUGCAGCAAUCAUUGUCAUCAGGAGUGGUGCCGGAAGACUGGAGAGUAGGCAAGAUUGUUCCAGUCCCCAAAAAAGCUAUACUACCAGCUCAUCGUCAGUCCAGCCGCAUUAGCCACAGCAAAGCCGUGUAUCCUCCCCCGGCGCAGACUACCUCUCAUCUACGAUCAUUUUUUGUGAAAACCGCCAGGGACUGGAACGGUCUGUCUGCCGACAUCACGCACCACUCCGACACUCAUCACUUCAAGGCUGCUCUAGAAUCACUGUUUGUUAAAGCCCAUCCCUCAUGUAAUACCCCAUCUCUGGGGCCUUUGAGGUAU
Non-coding RNA from Dermacentor albipictus, 1034 nucleotides. The record is from RefSeq and is a predicted model, not a curated record. Lineage: Eukaryota; Metazoa; Arthropoda; Arachnida; Ixodida; Ixodidae.